AUACGUAGGUGGCAAGCGUUGUCCGGAUUUACUGGGCGUAAAGGGAGCGUAGGCGGAUGUUUAAGUCAGUUGUGAAAGUUUAAGGCUCAACCUUGAAAUUGCAGUUGAUACUGGACGUCUUGAGUGCAUUAAAUGUGGGCGGAAUUCGUGGUGUAGCGGUGAAAUGCUUAGAUAUCACGAAGAACUCCAAUUGCGAAGGCAGCUCACAGGACUGUAACUGACGCUGAUGCUCGAAAGUGUGGGUAUCAAACAGGAUUAGAUACCCUGGUAGUCCACACAGUAAACGAUGAAUACUCGCUGUUUGCGAUAUACAGUAAGCGGCCAAGCGAAAGCGUUAAGUAUUCCACCUGGGGAGUACGCCGGCAACGGUGAA
Molecule: ribosomal RNA, 373 nt
Filed under: uncultured bacterium
Lineage: Bacteria
Description: bacterial SSU rRNA
Rfam family: Bacterial small subunit ribosomal RNA
Source: RNAcentral